Molecule: ribosomal RNA, 752 nt
Filed under: uncultured bacterium
Lineage: Bacteria
Description: bacterial SSU rRNA
Rfam family: Bacterial small subunit ribosomal RNA
Source: RNAcentral
AGAGUUUGAUCAUGGCUCAGAACGAACGCUGGCGGCAGGCCUAACACAUGCAAGUCGAACGAGCUGGGACCUUCGGGUCCCGAUGCUAGUGGCGCACGGGUGAGUAACACGUGGGAAUCUACCCAAUAGUACGGAAUAACUGAGGGAAACUUUGGCUAAUACCGUAUACGCCCUUCGGGGGAAAGAUUUAUCGCUAUUGGAUGAGCCCGCGUCUGAUUAGGUAGUUGGUGAGGUAACGGCUCACCAAGCCAACGAUCAGUAGCCGGUCUGAGAGGAUGAUCAGCCACACUGGGACUGAGACACGGCCCAGACUCCUACGGGAGGCAGCAGUGGGGAAUAUUGGACAAUGGGCGCAAGCCUGAUCCAGCCAUGCCGCGUGAGUGAAGAAGGCCUUCGGGUUGUAAAGCUCUUUCGGCGGGGACGAUGAUGACGGUACCCGCAUAAGAAGCCCCGGCAAACUUCGUGCCAGCAGCCGCGGUAAUACGAAGGGGGCUAGCGUUGUUCGGAAUUACUGGGCGUAAAGCGAACGUAGGCGGUGUUCCAUGUCAGAGGUGAAAGCCUGGGGCUCAACUCCAGAAUUGCCUUUGAAACGGGAACGCUUGAGUCCGAGAGAGGAUGGCGGAAUUCCUAGUGUAGAGGUGAAAUUCGUAGAUAUUAGGAAGAACACCGGGCGAAGGCGGCCAUCUGGCUCGGUACUGACGCUCAGGUUCGAAAGCGUGGGGAGCAAACAGGAUUAGAUACCCUAGUAGUCC